AUGGUCAAAUGUUAGUUGUUAUUUUCUUUGGUGAUCUAUUUUUGUGGGGGGUUUGAUUAGCUGUCAAUUUUUAUGCCUUUGGGUCAAGUUUGAACUUGGACAUGCUUUGUUUGUGUUGAUUGCUUAAUAUAAAUGUGGGAGACAAAAAGGAGAAGAACAUGGGAAGAAAUUGAAUUAUGUUGCAUAUUUUUUAAAAUAUAUAUUAGAAAAGUUGUUUAUGUUUCACCUACUUGAAUAAUGACAAGAUUAUAGGCUAGAUUCAAUGGAAGAAGAUCCCUCUUUCUUUGGGGUUCCAUGGCUUUAUUAUACAUAUGAAAUUGAAAUUCAAGGUUUCUGGAUUGUGUUAUUAAUAAUAAUUAUGAAGAAUCUGUUUUUCCAUCCCUUUUCUUGAUCAUAACAUGCCUUUCUUGAUGUAUGUUUGCCAUCAUUUUCAUUGUGUUCAUUUUCUUACCUUUCUUGG
This 460-nucleotide long non-coding RNA is filed under the name Capsicum annuum. RNAcentral's name for it is "long non-coding RNA (CANN_LNC006226)". Lineage: Eukaryota; Viridiplantae; Streptophyta; Magnoliopsida; Solanales; Solanaceae. The record is from RNAcentral.